AUGCUCGCUUCAGCAGCACAUACACUUCAAUUGGAACAAAACAGAGAUUACCAUGUCCCUAUGCAAGGGUGAUACAUAAAUUCAUGAAGUGUUGCAAUUUUUU
This is a small nuclear RNA of Pteronotus mesoamericanus, 103 nucleotides long. The record is from RefSeq and is a predicted model, not a curated record. Lineage: Eukaryota; Metazoa; Chordata; Mammalia; Chiroptera; Mormoopidae.